GGGGGUUAUGUAUAACUGAGAGUCAGCUGCCAGGUAACACCUCGGCCUUCCUACUGGAAAUCCUUCCUGUGGGAUGGGUCCAUGAAGCUUCUUCUGCAUGUGAAACCUGGAAAGAGAGAGACACGGUCUCAGUUGCUUCCUCAAAGUGCUCACAGACACCAUUCUUGGAGGCAGAAUUCAGGUCAGUUUCUAUCUCCAGAUCUUCCUAUCACAAGAAAUUGGAUUUCAGCUCUGGUUUUCUCCAUGGGACACAGCACAAACAUUGGAUUGGGGGUCACCUUCUGACUUAAAUCACUUCUUGUCUCAUCAUGAAAGGUGAGCAGCUUGACCUUCACAGCAGAAGGGACUGGUGACAAGUCAGGAAACCUGAGCGAACUUCCCAAGGACCUAACCCUUGGGAAGAGGUUAAGGCUUUAACAAGGAAAACAAAGAAACAACUCAAUAGCAGGCAAUAGGACAGCGUUUAAUUGAGAUAUGGUUUGAAUAUUAAAAAAAAAUCUGGUGGGGCCACAGUGUUCAUAGAAAAGAAUUGCUCCUGUGGUCAAGGUGGCCAAGAGAAGGCUCUCAGAAUCAGAUCUCAGAUGGGAUGGAAGACAAGAUGUGGAAGAAAUUAGUGGGGUUUUCUUGAUACUUAAAAGGUGACCUUGUUUCCAAGAUUGUUGAUAACGGUGUUUUGGUUCCAUUAUCUCCCAUCUCGCUGCCCCAACCCCACUGUUUUUGUCUGGAGGCUGCAUGUGUUGGCGCAGAGUUAUUCCCAUUGGCCUCAGAGCCCAGUUACUCAUUCAAAAAUAUUUAUUGAAAGCCUUGUACAUGCCAGGUAUGUUCUAGUUGCUGCAGAGACCAAAACAACCACAGAGCUUGUGGCCUCUUCAAGGAAAGACAGACAAUAAACAAUGAACAAAUAAAUAAAUGAACUAGUACAAAUAGUAGUUGAUAAUAUCAAGAAAAUACAUGGGAGGAUGGGAGAGAGAGUGGCUAGUUGGGGAUUUUCUUCUUUAGAUAGGACCCAGGGAGGCCUUUGUGAAAGGAAUGCAUGUGAGCUGAGUGGCACCGAUGACGAGAAGCCAGCCACCAAGGGCCAGCUGGGAGAGUGUCCCUGGCAAGAAGUGCUGGUGCAAAGUUUGGAGAUGGGGAAGAGCUUGGAAAAAUACAGUAAGCAGGAGAGGAGAGGAGCCAGAGAGAAGCAGAAGACCAUCAAUCAAUCAGCUGUGCCCUUGAACGUACAGGUGACACCAAACUCAAGCUUUAGAUGACAGAGGCCAUGUACUGACUUUUCCCACUGCCUCAGCUUCAGCCAAGAGCAGACUCCAAUGCCCUUCAUUGCUUCAUAACAUGCUUGUGUAGGAGACUGAUAUAGUCCCCAUGGUCAUUCUGAAUGGCAGCCUUUCAGCUCUGCAGAAACUCAGAAACAACCAGAGAAAAAAAUGGCAGAGAUUUCUGGGGUCAAGGGUUCUAGAUUGGCAUCUGACCUUGCCCCCAGAGCUGAGUUCGCUGUCCAAGAGUUACCCCCAGUCUGGGGUCAGACAGAGGCAGCUGUGAAGGAAGCAGAUAAGAGGGUGUUGGGAGUUCCUGAGAGCCCACUGAAGACUCCACGAUCAAGAUCCAAGGAGCCAACCCAGGGAGCAUUUCCAUUACAAGAAGUAUAGUUUCAGUCAAGAUAUUUAAGGGAUUCUUUUUCAUCAGAUCUAUUGGAGACAAAAUGAAAAUCAUAUGGUCUUGAGAGAAAGAGAAUUUGUCACAUAGAAAAUUUUGGUCCUCAUUCUUCUGCAGCUGGGCCACAGUUGGACCAAAAGGUUAAAGUUUUGGAAUCAGACUCCUCCAUGGGCCAGCACGGUACAGCAACUGCAUCUGCCCAGCAGCCAGAAUCACUAAUACAUCUCCAGCCCUCCCAAUUCCCUCAUUUCCUGCAGAGCUCUCUCUACUCCAUUGACAUCUUAAGAAAAGUAGACUCUCCUUUGAAAAAGGUUGGUGAUCCCACAUUGAGAAAGACUAAAGAAAGCUCAGUCAUCCUAGAAGAUCUUGCUACCAUAUAAUAAAGAGUCUUCACCUUAAUCCCCCAGAUAUGUUUUUGUAUAUCAGAAGAUAAGUUUUGAAAUGUAAAUAUAAAUGGAGAGGAGAGAGAUCGUCCACUCUUUUUUACAUAAAUGCAAGCUCUUAGCUUUCUCAAAAAAGAAAGUACAUACACAGGGGUUUCUGGAUCUCAGAAUUUACCAACAGAGAAAAAUAAUCAGAAUUAAAGUUUGAUGGACUAGUUAUUUUAGUCAAACUCCCUUCCUCUGAUUACCAAGCACUGCGUAGGCUCACAGCGAAGAAGCUAGUCCUACGACUGUUACAUCAGCCCACCCAUUUCACAGGGCCCAGCCUCGUUUUAUAGUGAAUGAUGCAAGUAAAUGUCAGUGUUUAGGAACCAAGACACUAUUGUUCUCUUCUGUUGGGGAAAGGCCGGAAGCAUAGUCCAAUGAUGUGCAAGGUGAAAAUUCUUUCUGACUGAGCCAUCUUUUGCUGGGUCCAAGAAAUCAAAGAAAACGGCAUCACUCUGUGCUAAAAAUGUAUAGUACACAGUGACUACAUCAUCCAACAGGAGGCUGUGAAUUUGGUGAUGAUGUGAAGGAAACCAAUAACUGUAUUAAUGUGACACAGUACAAGAAAACACAAUGCAGAGGACUGAGCAGUUUGGGACGCGCAGGUAAGCUGUGAGGACCCAGAAAUGGACCUUUGAGACCUCAUGGAUCCCCCGAAGAGAGCGAAGGGCGGAGAACCCCGCCAGCUCGCCUCAGCUAUCGUCUGGGAGAUCUGUCGCCACCGCGGGCCUCCUGUUGUGAAAUCCGGACAUAACAAUUCACCACAUUUACCUUUUCAUGAGAAGGUGAUUGGUUUUCUUUUUGUCAAAUCUUGGAAAAUUAGGGGGAACAAGUAUGGAUUGAGUGCAUUGUUGCCUGCAUUCUUCCCUCCCUCCCACAACCUGGUGGAAUUGGUUCCUCAGUCCCCAAUGCACAACAGCAGUGUUUUUGAUAUGGCAACCCCGCUAUGAGGAGCAGUGUCAAUUAGAGAAAAGAGCACUAAUAGCACUAGCCUCCACUUGUUGAGCACCUACUCUGUGCCAAGCUAAAUACUUCAUGUGCAUUACGUACCAGAAGGUAACUAUCAAGAUAAAUCCAAUGAAAACCAAAGGAUGUCGUCAAAUUCAGCGAAUAAACUGCACCACUGAAAAUUUUUCAUGAACCACUAGCACACUACACUUUGGGAUAAUGACGUAGUUGAAACCUCUCAUUCAUAGAUUGUCCUUUAUUUGCCAGAGAUGUUUAAGUGAAACUAGAAGGUCAUUUAUCCUAAUGCCUUAAGGACCAAAUUAAAAGCAUCAUUUUUGCAUUCUCAGGGGAGAUUCAGAAAGUCCAUUUCAAUGGGCCUGGUAGAGUCAUCAUCUGGCUAGCGAUCCCAGUGGACAUUUCUCAUGUGCACUGGAUAUAUCAGAUACUAUUUAAUUUAAUUUUCAAAACACAUUAUUUUUCAGAUGAGGAAUCAGAGGCCCAAAUAGGUUGAUUGAACCCAGAUCUCGCCGGUAGUAAAUGGUCUUUCAGCCCACAAGUCUGGGGGCUGUCCUCUUCCCAAGGCUGGCUGAGCAGCCUUCUCAGGAAGGAUUGGUCUGGCUCUCACUGCCCCCAAGGCCAAUCCCAAAGCCAUCCUUUCACAACUGACUGCAAACAGCAUUGAGAGGUUGGGGAACCUUGCAUUUGAGGACUAGUUGGAAUCUGACCUCCCAAAAGCAGCUCUUCGUUCUCCCCAGCUAAAUGCCUCUCAUUUUCCAAGACCACUAAUUUGAGUUGGAUUGCAAAGGCCGGGUGGGAUUAAAACAAGCAGACUCAUGAUUCAUAAUCAAAUACCAUCAGACGAUCGUGAAGACUUGAGAAAUAAAGGGAGAAACCACAAUUACUGGGUAACAAUUGGCAAUGAUCUUCAAGCAGGCCUUUGUCCACAGAGCUUCGGACGUUAGAAUGGGGCUUUCUUCUCAGAUUCAUGAGAAGACUUCUCUUGUCAGCUUCUAGAUGAUACAUAUGGCAGAAAGGGUGUCCAUCAACUUCCCAGUGUUCCUUAAUGGUCAUUAGAGAGUUGCCUCUUUCUUUAUAUUUUUGAAAAAUCUACUGUGAAAUAUUUCAGACAUACAAAAAUAUGGAGAAAAUAAUGUAAUACAUGCAAGGGUAUCUAUCUCCCAGUUUGAAAAAAUAGAACUGUACAAACACACUUGAAGCAGUCUGUUUUCUUCAUCCCAUUCCCAUGGGGAUGCCCAUCAUAUCUAUGCAUGUCUUUAUACUUUGCCCACAGAAGUCUAUACACCUAAGCAAUCUUGAGCAUUAUUUUUGCACAACUAAACAUUGCAUAGUGACAUUAUUCACAACACAUUCUCAUGAAACUUUUUUUUUUGCUCCCCAAAGCCCCAGUACAUAGUUGUAUAUUCUAGCUGUAAGUCGUUCUAGUUCUUCUAUGUGAGCCACUGCCACAGCAUGGCUACUGACAGACGAGCAGUGUGGUUUCGUGUCCAGGAACCAAACCCAGGCUGUCAAAGUGGAGCACCCAGAGCUUAAGCACUAGACCAUCAGGGCUGGGUCUCCUGAAACUCUUUCAUGCAACAGUACAUGAACAAGACUCAUCCAUGUCGAUGCACAUAGUUCCAGUUCCUUUAUCGCUGUUGUAUAGGAUUCUACUUCACAAACACACUUCAGUUUAAUUCAAAAUCCUCUUGUGAAUACUUCAAUUGUUUCUAAUUUUUCACUAUUGUAAAUGAAGCUUAUAUGCACAGUCUUCAUAUCAUUCUUCUAUCAUUGAAUGCAUUUGUGCAUUCUUGCACAUUCUAUGUGUCUCCUUGGGUGUGUACGUGAGGUUUUUCUCUAGCAUAUAUUUCUAAAAAGGGAACUGCUGAAUCACAGGGUAUGUUCACUUUCAUCUUUAUUAAAUAUGGCUAAAUUGCUGUCCAAAGUCGUUGUACAAAUUUUCCUUCCUACCCGAGAAAUGUGAGUUCCUGUUUCUCCUUAUUCUUACCAACACUUAGCAUUUUCAGAGUUUUCAAUUUUUGCCAAUCUGAUGAGUAUGAAAUGGUAUCGCACUGUCAUUUAAAUUUGCAUUUCCUGAUUAUAAUGUGGUUGAGUAAUUUUUCAUUUUUUUUAUGGUCUUUAUGGGCCUUUUGGGUAUUUUCUUCUACAAAUUACAUGGUAAUAUCAUUUGCCUGUUUCUCCAGUGGGAUUAUUAUUCCUCUCAUUAUCAAUUUUUAAAUGUUCUUUAUAUAUUGUGUGUAUACAUAUUGCAAACAUUUUUAUGUCUUGUCCCUGUCAAUGGUUUUCUUUCUCCUUUUUUUUCUAUCUUGUUUGUCUUGAAACACACACUUUGUAUUUUACUCAAGGUGAAUUUAUCAAUUCUCUUUCCCUCCCUUUUUUUUUUUCUGAAGAAUAGUUGCUCUGAGCUAACAUCUGUGCCAAUCUUCCUCUAUUUUUUUGUAUGUGGGCCACCAUGGCAUGGCCACUAACAGAGCAGUGUAGGUCUGUGCCUGGGAAUUGAACCUAGGCUGCUGAAGCAGAGCGUGCUGAACUUAACCAUUAGGCCACCGGGGCUGGCCCAUCAAUUCUCUUUAUAUUUGUCUUCUUUGUAUCUUUAAAAAAAAAUUUCUCCCAUAUGCCAAGAUCACAAAUAUAAUUUCUUACAUGUUGUUAUAAAAGAACAAAAGUUUUUAUUUCCAUAUCUUAUGUCUUUAUUUUCCUUAGGGUUUAUUUUUGUAUAUAGUGUGAGACAAAGGAUAAAUUUCACUUUUUUCCUUAGUAUGUUCCCGGGGCCAUUUGUUAAGUAGACCAUCCUUUCGACACUGAUCUGAAAUACAACCUCUCAUAUAUCAAGUUUCUGUAUAGGUAUGGUUUGUUUCUGGGCUGAUUUAUUUGUUCCAGUUGGCCCUAUGCCAAUAUCACAGUGGCCAAAUUACUAUAGCUUCAAAGUUAGUCUUGAUUUCUGGUCAAACAUGUCCAUUAUGCCCUGGUUCUCUUCAAAAUUAUUUUCAAAAGGAGAUAUUUGUUGAUCUUUUUCUCUUCUAUGUUUUCAAAUCAACUUGUCAAUUUUCACAUAAUAUUUUGACAUUUUAAUUGGAGUUACUUUGGACUUUUAGAUUACUUGAGGAGAGUCAAAAUGUUUGUAGUUUUGAGUCUCUCUAUCCAUAAAUAUAGUGUAUCUCUCUCAUUUAUUUGGAUCUAUUAAAAUAUAUUUCAGUAAUGAUUUAUAUUUUUCUCCAUAAAUAUCAUUUCCAACUCUUGUUAAUCUUAUUUCCAGGAAAGUUAUAUAUUUUGUUUCUACCAUAAAUGGCUUCUUUUUUUUUUUUUUUUUUUUUUUUUUUUUUUUUUAUUUUUUUUUUUUAAAGAUUUUAUUUUUUUCCUUUUUCUCCCCAAAGCCCCCCCGGUACAUAGUUGUGUAUUCUUCAUUGUGGGUUCUUCUAGUUGUGGCAUGUGGGACGCUGCCUCAGCGUGGUCUGGUGAGCAGUGCCAUGUCCGCGCCCAGGAUUCGAACUAACGAAACACUGGGCCGCCUGCAGCGGAGCGCGCGAACUUAACCACUCGGCCACGGGGCCAGCCCCAAUGGCUUCUUUUUUAAAAGUAGCAUUUUUUGUUUGUUGCCAAUGUGUAUCGUUGUGACUAAUUUUGUAAAACUUGAUUUCAUUUCCAGUAAUAUUUUUAAAUAUUUUCUAAAUAUUACAAAAAAUAUUUGUAAAACUUGAUCUCGUUUCCAGUAAUAUUAUUAUUGGUAUUAAUAAUAAAUUAUUAAUAAUUAAUAAAUAAUUAAUAAUAAAUUAUUAAUACUAAUCAUUUGUUUGAAAAGUUUCUUAUGAUUUUAUGCAUAAAAUCAUGUCAUCUGUUAAUAAAAAUAGUUUUGGGUGUUUUCUUUUUCAAUUGCUUAUACAAUUUCUUUCUUUCUCUUAUACUUGGAUAUGGUCUAUGGAACAGUCUGGCAUAGAAACAAUGAUUCUAGGCAUAUUUUUCUGAUAUCUAUACGUUUCAUCAUUAAACAUGGUUACUCCAGGUUUUUGGAAUGUUCCUUUUAUCAAAUUUACUAAAUCUUCUUUUAAAAUUAUAAAUAAGUGUUGAAUUUUAUCAUAUGCUUUUGUGAAUCUAUUAAGAUUUUUUUUUCUUACAAUUAUUUUGUGUCAUGAAUUGCAUCAAGAGAUUUUCUAACGUUCAGCCACUCUUGUAUGUCUGAGAUUCACACAGCUUGGUCAUUUGGACAACAGUUCAAUGCUUUACCUCUGCUGACUGUAUGUGUGGCAACUGUUGGUUGUCCACCAGAUAGCCAUCCCCAUCCCACCUCUGGAACCCUGGUUUUGUCCAUUAGAUGGCCGUGAACUUCAAGGGAACUUUUUAACUAGUCCAAGUUAAUCACUGUAUUUCCAUUCCCUUACCAUAGCAGGGGAAAUCUGCUGAAGGGGAAAGAGGGAAGGGUUUUAGGGGACAUAUCCUUUGAGAUAAAAGAAUGAGAAAGUGUCUCUUCUGACUUUUGGACAUUGUUAUAUAUUGACGUGAUGCCUGGAGCUCCUGCAACCUUCUUGUUACCAGAGACAGCUCUCUUGCUACCUUUUCACAAAAUCAUCUGGCAAAGGUUGACAGAGAAGGGAGAUGGAAUGGACCUGGCUCCUUGAGAACAUUGCUGAGAUGCUGAAUGAACCCACCCCUGGAACUUCUCCAUCUCUGAACUUUUUGUGUUUGUGUCAAUAAUAGAUAUCUUAUUAUUUAAACCAUUUUAAAAUAUACCAUAAGUAAACUGAGGCUGAAAGUGCAACAUGCUGGUCUCUGAUGACUCUAGAGUUUGGUUCCUUCAUGUAUUCACUGAUAGCUUAGGCAAAAAUGUAUGGAGGGCUAACCACGUGCCAGGUACUGCACUAAGGACUGAAGAUAGAGAUGAUUGGGCUCUGCCUUCCAGGAGCUCACAGAUUGGGAAUGGAAAUAGAUUUAUAAACAAAUAAUUAAAAUCCAAAGUUAUAGAUUCAAGAGAAGAGGAAGCUCCACAAUGCUACGAGAGUAUGGGGGAUAAGGGUGGUUUUAAUUUUAUCCUGGGAGAGAAUGAGGAGAUAUCCAAAAGAUGGCUAGGCCUUGGAGAAUAAUUAAGUGUAUAAUUAAUCAUGAAGUCAGGAUAGGGGAAUCUAAAGGGCAGGGGCUAUGGGUGCAUGGCCCUGAAAUGACUUGGGAAGAGAAGCAGUUGGGUUCAGUUAGAGACAGUUUUGCAGAAAUAAGUUGCACGUUUUAAGGUAGAUGGAAUUUCAGUUUCCCUUUUAGGCCAUGGAUGUAGGAUGAGGAGCAGCCAGAGAGUGUUACAGCACAGUCUUCUGUGCUGGCCAGGUUUCCAGCAGCCAGGAAAGUGUGAGUGGUGCCAGGUGAGGAGCAGUGGGCACCGAAGGUGUGGCUCCUUGGUGCAGUGGAGCUUGAGAAAUGAGACAGUAGUGCACAUCCCUGCCAAAGGGUCUGCAGCAAGAACGGUCAAGUGUGCUUGGCAGGGCGCUGAAGUGGAGAAAGGGUAUUUCCUUAGGCACUGGUGGCAAAGGCAGGGAAUCUUAAUACAUGUCUCCUCACCCACUCCAUAUCAAUAUGAGCUAGAGAAAGUCCGCAUCAGCUAUUGAGAGCCAAUUGUGUACAGCUCUUCCCAACUCCACAUUCACAACAUCAUGAAAUUGGCCACAGUGAGAAUAUUUACACCAUGGAAAUGGGCACAUACUUCAAAUCAGUAUUUUUUCUUUUGUUUUGUACCUGAUUGUUAAACAUUUACCAGCGUGCUACUGCAUGGGUUGCUGUGGACCACAAAUUUUCCAUAAAAGUCUGACCUCUCAUUCGUGCAUCUGCUAUAGUUCCCUUUCCAGAGAGCUGGGUGUGUUCUUGCAGGAUGCAUGCAACAUCCCGGUUUCUGGAGUUAGAAACCAACUAGCUGUCCCCAGGCACCGUAGAAUAAUGUGAGUGGCUGUUGCAAAGAGUUGACAAUACCACCGAAAACUCAAGAUUACCGAGCUCACUUCUGCUCUGCCUCUGAGAACGGUUCAUGCUUAACACCUGGAGGAGUGUCUAGGGUGACUAGAAACCAAGGGAGCACUCCUGUGACCAACGUCACAGGCAGAGCAAAGCUUCCCCUCUGUCCUCCUACCACAGCCUCCUCUUCCAACACUCACCAAUGGUCCUGGACUGCGCAGCUCAGGGACAUUUAGUCAUCAUUUGGCAUUGACAUGGGCAGGAUCUGGGGCAUCUUUUUGUGGCAUGGAGUGAAGGGUUAAUAGAGCCCCCGGGAGCCUAGCAUCCAGUUCCUUUAUCUCUUCUUUCCAAUUUCUUGACUUCUUUUCUUAUUUUAGUAUCUACCCCUAAGAUUCUGCAACUCCCCUGUUAAACGUCUUGCCCUCCUGGAUGACAUGACUUUUGAACUCACACAGAUCUGCUGUCAGUUCAGUUCUUUAGAGAGAACUGGGGCUCUCUCCAGUCUCAUUUCUUGAAUCUCCUUAAGUUCUCUUUACCGCUGACCUUAAUAAAAGAGAAGAGACAGGACUGGCCAUCUUUUGGGGAUCACCAAUAUAGCAAACUCCAACUCACAAAUGAUUGAAGACAGUUCACCUUUGCAAAGGUCUGGAUAGACCGGAGGAGGAGCAAGAAUAAACUACCUCUUACUCAUUCAUACGAAUCCUUUACCAUUGAGUUGUUUGUCAUAGCAAUAAAAUGUAAAUAGUUGAAAAGAAAACAACCAAGAAUUCAGUAAGAGGGGAUUGAUUAUAUAGCCAUUCAAAACCAUGAUGUAGAUGAAUAUCAAAUAACGUGGGACAAUGUCCACAAUGCAUUGCUAAACAGAUAAAAUAAAGUUAUAAUAUGAAUCCUACACACACACAUACAAAGCAACUAUAUAGAUACUAUCUAGACAAAGAAGAAAAAAACUGGUAAAGGCCACACAUCAAAAUGUCAAAUAUGUAUUAUUAAAUAUGAUUUUUACUAACUUUGCAUUUUUCAUUUUCAUAUCACUUUUUAAAAGUGCUCCCUUCUCUUUUAGUUGCUGAGAUGUUUAUCUCUCUAGUUGCUGGCGUUUCUGGAAAACCCCUUCUGCUUUUACUGUCUGAGCUAAAUGACCUGUCUGCCCUUAGGCGAUUGCUCAAGAAGGACAGUGAACUCAUUAUCACCCGCAGAAAUCAAACCAGAAUCCCUCAGCGGACUGUGUUCUGAGUCUGGAACUUGCACAUGUGUCCCCCCUUGCAGACAUAGCUUAUAUAGCCUCAUGUUCAGCCAAGAACAGCCCACUUCAUUUACUCAGCCAUUGCAGCGAGCAGCAAGGUGGUGUCAAAGCUUGCUUUCCAGUCACUUUGCAAGACAAAGGCCUGGAGGCAGCAGUUCAUAUCAGCGCAUCUGAGAGCCCAGUGCUCCUCCCACAGGUGUGGGCCAAGUGGGGCAGGAGAGCUAUUAGCCUAAGCCCCUCUCUUUGCCUCGGAGUUAUACGGAAAAUGAGCUUUGGUGAUCAUGUGUGAAUGAGGAGUUCCAUUACUAGAUUUUAUAGUUAGAACUUACUUCUAUCUUUAAUUCCAAUUUUAAUUCCAAUUUUAAAGAAUUCUGUGGGAAAUCUUUCUAAAAUCAUUUCACGCUGUUCUGCUUGGUAAGCAGAGAAAACAAAAACUUGCGAAUGUAUUUUGAUGUAUCCUAAUUUUAAUUAGUUUGCUCUGCUCUAAGUGAUGCUAAUAUGGCACACAGCCUUACACCAUGCAGCCCAAAACCAUUUGCCUCUCGCUUCCUUUCAUGAUGCUCUUCUCCCUCCUGGUUAAGAGGACACUUCACACUCCCUACAGAGAGAAGGUGUUAAUUUCUUUUCUCCUUUACAAUUCUCCACUUCUGAUACUAUCUUAAUUGUGACAACAAAGGAACAAUUCAUUAAUGUCAUUUUAAAAGUAUGAGUAAAUAAACUCUGAGUAAAGCUUUGAUUUUUGUUGUUGUUUUAUUCCUAUGGGUUUUGUUCAUAUUUUCAACCCGAUCUGGUCAGAAUUUUUUUUAGUUUACUUUUUUGUAGUCAUGCUCUGACAAGUUCAAGUGUUGGAGACACGAUCUCCAAGGUUCCACCUAUCUUAAAUACACUUUUUGCUACUAUUUUGCUCUGUGGGGGACUGGAAUUGGCCAUCCCGAGAUAUGUCUCUUUGGCAUGAGGAUUAUUUGGGGCUGGUUACUUUUAAUAAACUGCAAACAGGAAAGCAACUCUGAAAAGUAGAAUUUACUUACCCUUUGUGAAGAGGCCCUUAGUUGUCAUGUUUGCCUAAAUAAACUAUGUAUCUUUCAGUGGGAGAAAAAUCAUGUGCUACAAUUUUGUACACUAUACUAUUGUAACAUUGAGCAAUAGCUUGAUAACCACUGGUUAACUAGCUGUUCACAGAACUCUUAAUAACUGCCGAGGCCAGAGAUAAACCUUGAAAGAAGAAAUUAAAGACACAGUACAUAACAGUAUGAUGAAAAACCAAAAUUAGUAGGAGAAAUGAUAAUUGCUAAAACAAUGGUCUUUAAAUCUUUUUGUUUGGCAACUUCCUACAGAGAAGCAAAAAACUACGUAUUCAGUGGCACAUUUAUAAUUUGACUUGGAAAAUGUGUCAUAAGAAAUCUAAAGAGUUACAGAGAAAAUAUUUUUCAGUAUACUGUAAAUACUGACUUUAAAAAGUAAAUCUAUGGGCUGGCCCGGUGGCCGAGCGGUUAGCUUCGCGCACGGGCACUCCGCUGCAGGCGGCCCAGUGUUUCGUUGGUUCAAAUCCUGGGUGCUGUCAUGGCACUGCUCAUCAAACCACACUGAGGCAGCGUCCCACAUGCCACAACUAGAAGGACCCACAAUGAAG
This is a long non-coding RNA of Equus caballus (horse), 11845 nucleotides long. NCBI's taxonomy places the organism in Eukaryota, Metazoa, Chordata, Mammalia, Perissodactyla, Equidae. The record is from Ensembl.